CAAAAAUAGUAACCUGCAUUCCAACUAUAUACCACAUUACAAUGCAGGGACAGAAUUUCAACAAGACAAUCCAGCAUUUCGUAACAUCAUCAAGUGAUACAGAGAGAGAAAAUGGUAUAAUUAAAACUUCACAAGUAAAUAGAUUAGUUAGUGGAUUCACACAGAUAUAUUGGAAACAACCAUGCCUUGCAUGGUUGUACUGAGAGUUAUGCAAGGCAAGCUAUAGGGGCACCAGUCAGAUCAGUGGGUGCUUAUUGUUGGUCCAGUAUUGGGCAUGGGCCAAGUUCCUAUAUUUGUGCCCGGCAGUUGAGGUGGCCCGCCAGUAGGUGCUUACGGUCCUCUAGUGCGUGGUCCACUGUCCCUGAAGUAGUUGUGGGUCCCAAAUAAGAAAAAUAGGCCCGCCCACAUCUUCAAGGACAGGUAUCGCGAGCGAAUAGCUUCAAUGUUGCCAAGCCAGAUGGUGUGGCAGCCAUAUGAAACUGAGUUAGAGGACCUUCUGUCGUGGUGCGUUGCAGGGAGGGCCGUGUGGACGGCAAUGGUGCUGCUUGUAUGUUUCCACAUAAUAGAGAAACAUACACCAAAUCGUGUCGUUCGUCAAUUUGGGAUGAUCCAAGAAAUUCCCCAUGAUGUUGACAUUGAUGAGGUCCUUCAUAAAAUUGAUUUGAGGGGUAAGGCCGGUGUAAAUUGGAUGCAGAGACAUGUUGUGCAUAUACUAGAUUGGGGUAAUCGCCUUCAACGGCGUUUUAAAGUAGUGCUUGGUGAUAUGCCUCCACAGCACGAGUACUUUGGUUGGUUCAACAGGGUAACUCAGAGGUUCAUCAAUAGGCCCGGUGCUAAAUAGGGUUUAAAGCAUGUAAAUAGGGUUUUUCUGUUAAGAAGAAGUCUGGAAUCAGAUAAAGUCUGGAAACUUAACUACUUGAGUAAUAGGUUGGUUCUAAUAUUAUUCUUUUCUGACUUAGUCAAUGUCCACAGUGCAUUAUAGAUUUAAAGGAUAAUGUUUUGAGAGUUGGUGGUGGAGAAGUUUCUGUACCAUUUUUGCAAGAAAAAUACAUCCCAUCACGCUUUCUUGAUGAAGAAAGGUUGUCCCAGCAAGCAUCCAGCUCAGGGACCCCAGUGAAAUUAGGAACAACAGAUAGAAGCAAUAUUGUCCCAAUAGGAGGGUCUCGUGGUGAUAUAAGCCAGGGACCUGAUUUUGAAGCCAAAGUGGCAAAGCUUGUUGAGCUAGGGUUUGGAAGGAAGCAGUCAUACAAGCUGUUAAAUUAUUUGAAGGAAAUGAAGAUCAGGCAGCACGGUUUCUUUUUGGGGGUUGAAGUUAACAUUUAUCUUUAGACUUCAAUUUUUAUGGAAUAAUGUUUGGUUCAGUAAUUUAAUUGCAAAUUAACAAAUUGAAAUUUGUGUACUUGAUACUGAUAGCAUUCCUUUAAAGCUAUUUUGAACCCUGAAAUUGGUGGUGUAACUUGCAAUUCAAAUGAGAGAAAGUAAACAAAUUUCAAAUUUGAGCUUUUA
Quercus lobata is the source of this 1506-nucleotide long non-coding RNA. RefSeq lists it as uncharacterized. The transcript has 6 exons. The record is from RefSeq and is a predicted model, not a curated record. NCBI's taxonomy places the organism in Eukaryota, Viridiplantae, Streptophyta, Magnoliopsida, Fagales, Fagaceae.